UACAGAGGUCUCAAGCGUUGUUCGGAUUCAUUGGGCGUAAAGGGUGCGUAGGCGGCGCGGUAAGUCGGGUGUGAAAUCUCGGAGCUUAACUCCGAAACUGCAUUCGAUACUGCCGUGCUUGAGGACUGGAGAGGAGACUGGAAUUUACGGUGUAGCGGUGAAAUGCGUAGAUAUCGGAAGGAACGCCAGCAGCGAAAGCGGCACACUGGGCCUUUUCUGACGCUGAGGCACGAAAGCCAGGGGAGCGAACAGG
Molecule: ribosomal RNA, 253 nt
Filed under: uncultured bacterium
Lineage: Bacteria
Description: partial 16S ribosomal RNA
Rfam family: Bacterial small subunit ribosomal RNA
Source: RNAcentral